This 400-nucleotide unclassified non-coding RNA is filed under the name uncultured bacterium. RNAcentral's name for it is "contains 16S-23S intergenic spacer region". It matches the Rfam family "Bacterial small subunit ribosomal RNA", at positions 772 to 1170 of the family's 1533-position model. The record is from RNAcentral.
UCCGGAUUAGAUACCCUGGUAGUCCACGCCGUAAACGUUGGGCACUAGGUGUGGGACUCUAUCGACGGGUUCCGUGCCGUAGCUAACGCAUUAAGUGCCCCGCCUGGGGAGUACGGCCGCAAGGCUAAAACUCAAAGGAAUUGACGGGGACCCGCACAAGCGGUGGAUUAUGUGGAUUAAUUCGAUGCAACGCGAAAAACCUUACCUACCCUUGACAUGUCCGAGAGCCUGCUGAAAGGCGGGUGUGCCCGAAAGGGAAUCGGAACACAGGUGCUGCAUGGCUGUCGUCAGCUCGUGUCGUGAGAUGUUGGGUUAAGUCCCGCAACGAGCGCAACCCUUGUCAUUAGUUGCUACAUUCAGUUGGGCACUCUAAUGAGACUGCCGGUGACAAACCGGAGGA